GCUCGACGCACGCGCCAAACACAAAAAAACGGUCAGGGGUAGUUUUUGAGGAAAAUAUAAAUAACAAAAAAAUACGCUGUUGAAAAAGAUGGGUUAAUGGAUGGAAAGCACAUCGGUUGUUUGUUUUAAAAAGUGAUGCUUCUCGUUGUCUUCUUUACUGUUUUUUCUUCUUCUCUAUCUACCUCC
RNAcentral lists this non-coding RNA (186 nucleotides) under uncultured eukaryote. The record is from RNAcentral.